CCUACGGGAGGCAGCAGUGGGGAAUAUUGCACAAUGGGGGAAACCCUGAUGCAGCCAUGCCGCGUGUGUGAAGAAGGCCUUCGGGUUGUAAAGCACUUUCAGCGAGGAGGAAAGGUUGGUAGCUAAUAACUGCCAGCUGUGACGUUACUCGCAGAAGAAGCACCGGCUAACUCCGUGCCAGCAGCCGCGGUAAUACGGAGGGUGCAAGCGUUAAUCGGAAUUACUGGGCGUAAAGCGCACGCAGGCGGUUGGAUAAGUUAGAUGUGAAAGCCCCGGGCUCAACCUGGGAAUUGCAUUUAAAACUGUCCAGCUAGAGUCUUGUAGAGGGGGGUAGAAUUCCAGGUGUAGCGGUGAAAUGCGUAGAGAUCUGGAGGAAUACCGGUGGCGAAGGCGGCCCCCUGGACAAAGACUGACGCUCAGGUGCGAAAGCGUGGGGAGCA
RNAcentral lists this ribosomal RNA (440 nucleotides) under uncultured bacterium. RNAcentral describes it as "bacterial SSU rRNA". It matches the Rfam family "Bacterial small subunit ribosomal RNA", at positions 338 to 770 of the family's 1533-position model. RNAcentral also lists the same sequence under 1 other name. The record is from RNAcentral.